Molecule: ribosomal RNA, 377 nt
Filed under: uncultured bacterium
Lineage: Bacteria
Description: bacterial SSU rRNA
Rfam family: Bacterial small subunit ribosomal RNA
Source: RNAcentral
UACGUAGGGUGCAAGCGUUGUCCGGAUUUAUUGGGCGUAAAGGGCUCGUAGGCGGUCUGUUGCGUCGGGUGUGAAAACCCAAGGCUCAACCUUGGAACUGCAUCCGAUACGGGCAGACUUGAGUGUGGUAGAGGAGACUGGAAUUCCUGGUGUAGCGGUGAAAUGCACAGAUAUCAGGAGGAACACCAAUGGCGAAGGCAGGUCUCUGGGCCACAACUGACGCUGAGGAGCGAAAGCGUGGGGAGCAAAUGGAAUUAGAUACUCCAGUAGUCCACGCCGUAAACGAUGGGUGCUAGAUGUGGGGACAACCACCUUGUUCCUGUGUCGACGCUAACGCAUUAAGCACCCCGCCUGGGGAGUACGGCCGCAAGGCUAAA